Molecule: long non-coding RNA, 525 nt
Organism: Magallana angulata
Lineage: Eukaryota; Metazoa; Mollusca; Bivalvia; Ostreida; Ostreidae
Exons: 2
Source: RefSeq, a predicted model, not a curated record
UUUCGUACAGGUCAUAAAACCGAACUCCUUUUUUAUAUAGUUAAUCAGAGUGUUUAUUGAAACAAUUUCGUUAAUUCGGUCGAUAAUUACGUUGUUAGUUUUUAUUAGUCUGAUUAGUUUUAAUCGAAAUAAUUAUCGUACGAUUCACCAUGUCAACUCGCCAUGUUUUGACUGCGAACAACAGCUGAUAGCGGUGUGUCAGAAGAAUGGCCUGCAAGACGGCGAUAGUGGAAAUUUCAGCUCAACUAACGUAUGACAGAUUAUAAAGCUAUUGGUGGCCACAUGGUUUUUACCUGUUGAUUCUUUUCAGCUCUUGAGGUUAACCUGUCAUCUCUGUCAUUUACCAGUAAAAAUUAAAUCGGAUAAUUCAUGAACAGUUACUGUAAUGGAACUUUAAGAAAGCAUCAUGCCUUGUUGUGGUUUGUGUUUGAUAAGAAAUUAUAACAAACAAAAUUAUGGCUGUUUAAAGUAAUUUACAAUUGUUAGCUGUGAAAAUUUGUUUUUCAAUAAAAGUAUGCAAUUAUG